GCAGGCCUAACACAUGCAAGUCGAGCGGUAGCACAGAGAGCUUGCUCUCGGGUGACGAGCGGCGGACGGGUGAGUAAUGUCUGGGAAACUGCCUGAUGGAGGGGGAUAACUACUGGAAACGGUAGCUAAUACCGCAUAACGUCGCAAGACCAAAGUGGGGGACCUUCGGGCCUCAUGCCAUCAGAUGUGCCCAGAUGGGAUUAGCUAGUAGGUGGGGUAACGGCUCACCUAGGCGACGAGCUGGUCUGAGAGGGUGACCGGCCACACUGGGACUGAGACACGGUCCAGACUCCUACGGGAGGCAGCAGUGGGGAAUAUUGCACAAUGGGCGCAAGCCUGAUGCAGCCAUGCCGCGUGUGUGAAGAAGGCCUUCGGGUUGUAAAGCACUUUCAGCGAGGAGGAAGGCUACUUUAGGUUAAUAACCUGGCGAUUGACGUUACCCGCAGAAGAAGCACCGGCUAACUCCGUGCCAGCAGCCGCGGUAAUACGGAGGGUGCAAGCGUUAAUCGGAAUUACUGGGCGUAAAGCGUGCGCAGGCGGUCUGUCAAGUCGGAUGUGAAAUCCCCGAGCUUAACUGGGAACUGCAUUCGAUAACUGGCAGGCUAGAGUCUUGUAGAGGGGGUAGAAUUCCCAGGUGUAGCGGUGAAAUGCGUAGAGAUCUGGAGGAAUACCGGUGGCGAAAGGCGGCCAUCUGGACAAAGACUGACGCUCUGAGGUGCGAACAGCGUGGGGAGAGCAAACAGGAUUAGAUACCCUGGUAGUCCACGCCGUAAACGAUGUCGAUUUGGAGGUUGUGCCCUUGAGGCGUUAGCUUCCGGAGCUAACGCGUUAAAUCGACCGCCUGGGGAGUACGGCCGCAAGGUUAAAACUCAAAUGAAUUGACGGGGGCCCGCACAAGCGGUGGAGCAUGUGGUUUUAAUUCGAUGCAACGCGAAGAACCUUACCUGGUCUUGACAUCCACAGAAACUUUCCAGAGAUGGAUUGGUGCCUUCGGGAACUGUAGAUACAGGUGCUGCAUGGCUGUCGUCAGCUCGUGUGUGAGAUGUUGGGUUAAGUCCCGCAACGAGCGCAACCCUUAUCCUUUGUUGCCAGCAUUCGGAUGGGAACUCAAAGGAGAUACUGCCAGUGACAAACUGGAGGAAGGUGGGGACGACGUCAAGUCAUCAUGGCCCUUACGACCAGGGCUACACACGUGCUACAAUGUCAUAUAAACAAAAAGUUGCUACACUCGCGAGAUGUGAGCGGAUCUCAAAAAGCCGAUCGUAGUCCGGAUUGGAGUCUGCAACUCGACUCCAUGAAGUCGGAAUCGCUAGUAAUCGCGGAUCAGAAUGCUACGGUGAAUACGUUCCCGGGCCUUGUACACACCGCCCGUCACACCAUGGGAGUUUGUUGCACCAGAAGUAGCUAGCCUAACUGCAAAGGAGGGCGCUUACCACUUUGUGGCCGAUGACUGGGGUGAAGUCGUAACAAGGUAGCCGUAGGGGAACCUGCGGCUGGAUCACCUCCUUACCUUAAAGAA
This 1519-nucleotide ribosomal RNA is filed under the name Klebsiella pneumoniae. RNAcentral describes it as "bacterial SSU rRNA". It matches the Rfam family "Bacterial small subunit ribosomal RNA". Lineage: Bacteria; Pseudomonadati; Pseudomonadota; Gammaproteobacteria; Enterobacterales; Enterobacteriaceae. The record is from RNAcentral.